GAGCAGCACGUUUUCUGGGGUUCUACCAUUACCACCACCUUCUAGCCAAAGCUUCAAUUUUUUCAACCACGGAGGACAUCAGAACUGAAGAAAAAUCUGGUGACUCUCAUGGUGAUCCUGACACCCUUCUCACAAAUAUAAUUACCACAAAAAUGAUAAAAUUUUUAACCAAAGCCUAGAUCCCAACCAUGACCCAUGAAACUACAAUCGGCCAGAUUGGUGUCAAGUUGGAUGGUUCCAACUACGCUCUAUGGUCCCAGGUUGUCGAGAUAUACAUCUCCGGCAAAGACAAACUGGGUUUUAUCAACGGUGAUUUUCCUCAACCCUCUCUAACUGAUCCCUCUUUUCGAAAGUGGCGCACCAAAGAUGCCAUCGUCAAAGGUUGGCUGAUAAACUCCAUGGAUCCAACACUCAUUGGUAAUUUCAUUAGAUUUCCUACUGCCAAAUCAGUUUGGGAUGCCAUUGUUACUACAUUUUUUGAUGACAAUCCUUCGAUGACAAGUGUCUCGACUGAAACAAGGCAAUGACUCCCUUGAGAAAUACCACUCCGAACUGCAAGGACUUUGGCGAGAAAUUGACUUCUGUCGCCCCAAUCCAAUAAUAUGUGCUACUGACAUCAACAAAUAUAACUCUCUGGUCCAAGAAGAACGAGUAUACAAAUUAUUGGAUGGAGUUGAUGACUGACUGGAUAGUGUGAGAGGUGAUGUUCUCCAGAUGAAACUAUUUCCAACCAUUGAACAAGCAUAUGCACAGGUUCGCCAAAAAGCACUCCGACAGGCUGUCAUGACCACCGACCCUGCCACUAUUUCUGGUGCGGUUCUGGUCACAAAAAGGUUAUAGCUGGGUUCUGGUGUUCCUACCUUUACUGGCACAUCAUCUCAAGGAACAGGAAAAUUGACCGUUGGUUCCAAAAUUCGCAGCACUAUUGAAGGGGAAAAAUGUUCUUACUGUGGUAAUCAAAAGUACACCCGUGAUAAUUGCUUCAAACUCCAUGGAUACCCCGACUAGUGGCAUGAAUUGUAGGCUAAGAAGAAACGACCAGGUGCAGUUGUAAGCACAGGGAAGACAGCUGUGGUGACAAUUCACUCUCCACUAUCUUUAAUUCCCUAAGCUGAAUUGUCAACAGAUGGAGGUCCUAACUCUGACUUAGGUACAUUUGGCUCUUCAUUUAUUUCCUCUUUUCAGGAAGAUAAUAAACAUCGUGGUUGGCCACUUGACACCGAGACCACUGACCACAUGACCUUUGAUGCUGCAAAUUUUACUCAAAAAUCACGACGCACUAUUGUUGCAAAUGCAAAUGAGACUCUUUCCCCAGUCACAGGGGCUGGUUCUAUGACUUUGUCUCCCUCUCUUCAAUUAUCUAAUAUAUUGCUUGUGCCAUCACUUCCCCAUAAAUUGUUAUCUACUAGUCAAGCUACUAAAGAAUUAAAUUGUGCAGUGCUAAUUUACCCUACUUUUUGCCUUCUUCAGGAUAUUCUCACGAAGGAGAUAAUUGGACGUGGUACUAGGAGAAUAAGAUUAUACCAUUUGGAAGAUUUUAGCAUAGGAAGUACACAUCUUGUUCAGGGUGAUGCUGGAGAACGACAGAUUUGGCUCUGGCAUCGUCGCUUGGGACAUCCAUCAUUUGGUUAUUUGAAACAUUUAUUGCUUGAUUUGUGUUCGAAUAUGGAUACUUCUAGUUUAAAAUGCGAUACUUACAUUGUUGCCAAAAGUCAUCGCAACUCAUAUCCUUUGAGCAUG
This 1740-nucleotide long non-coding RNA is filed under the name Olea europaea subsp. europaea. Lineage: Eukaryota; Viridiplantae; Streptophyta; Magnoliopsida; Lamiales; Oleaceae. The record is from RNAcentral.